RNAcentral lists this unclassified non-coding RNA (540 nucleotides) under Hevea brasiliensis (rubber tree). The record is from RNAcentral. Lineage: Eukaryota; Viridiplantae; Streptophyta; Magnoliopsida; Malpighiales; Euphorbiaceae.
GCAACUUGUAAUUUACCAUUAAAAACAGGAAAACGCCCCCUGGGAACCUAGCUGAGCGAACAAGCAGUGAGGUUUUUUCUCGUUGUUGGAAGAACAUCGAUCAAAGCUCCUCUCAAAUAUCAUCUCUAUCCUCUUUUCACAGCAACUUAAAAUGGCUGGGAGAAAUCGUAUUCCUCGUGAGGCCUAUAAUGAACGUCGUGGCUUCCCCCCAGAGAGACCUUUAAUUCGCGGCCCUCCUUUGCCACAUCCACCUCCUCAUCGUACAUUGUUGGAGGAUGAACUUGAAAUACAACAUGCUGAAAUCCAUGGGCUCCUGGUUGAUAAUCGCCGGCUGAUUGAAGAUCGAAUGGCUCUANNNNNNNNNNNNGAGGAACUUCAUCGCAUGAAUCUUGUCAUAGCUGAAAUUCGUACAGAAUAUGAAGUGCACUCGAGGGAGCUUAUUGAAAAGGGCUUGAAGCUGGAGGCUGAUCUUCGUGCUACUGAACCUUUGAAGAAUGAGGCUGUACAACUCCGUGCAGAAGUUCAGAAACUGAAUAAUGU